Molecule: long non-coding RNA, 3152 nt
Organism: Arachis duranensis
Lineage: Eukaryota; Viridiplantae; Streptophyta; Magnoliopsida; Fabales; Fabaceae
Exons: 2
Source: RefSeq, a predicted model, not a curated record
UCUUAAUACUGCAUUGUAGGUAUUUUGAAAGCGCUGGUGCAAUGGUUUCGGUCGAGUCUAUCUUUUAGCUAAUCCUACUCUUCCUCUUCCUCACAUUUGUGAAUAUUUGCUUUAAUAGUCUUGUGUUGUUCUCUAUGGUUCCCGAUUUCAAGAUUUCAUCCAUGAUCUAGAACAUUCAAUAUGUUUUUGCUGUGAAUUACUAUCUGAUUCCUUUUAUAGGACUGUAUUCGAAUUUGUGGAUUGUGGAUUUGCCUCAGGGAGAAGAACUACGUGAUGAACGUAUGAACGGGUGUUAUUCUUGUUUGCUAGAUUGGAAUUAUGAUUUUCUCUACUUAGGUGUGUCAAAUUCUUCUGGAUGACCUGUUAGCUGAAUUGAAGAUCUUUUCCGAUCUGGAAGUUUGGUUGAGCUCUUUUAAUUUGAUGAUCUGUUCUGUUAUGGUACUGUGGUGUUGAACAUGACCUCUUUUUUUCACGGAACUGUUUUCCUGAUUGUUCAGGCGAGAUCUCGAUUGUGAAUGCUUGCUUUUUGUCGGUGAUUGAAGGAUGAAUUCUGCUUCUUCCUAGAUCCAAAGAAACUGAGAACUCUCUUUAUCCUAGCUUGUUCUGAAACUUCUCCUAUUCUUCAACUAUUGUUCUUAUGUGUAGAGAUUUAGCUACGGUUUUGCUUGUCGAACAUGGCUUUUCUUUUACGGGACUGUUUUUCUGAUUAUUCAGGCGAUCUAGAUUGUGAACGGUUGCUUUCUGUUGGUGAUUGGAGGAUGAAUUCUGCUUUUGCCUAGAUCCGAAGAAACCGAGAACAUAUCCUUGCUUUUUUCCCCCCUAAAACUUCUAUUCUUCGACUGUUCUUAUCAUUAUUAUUGUAGGGGGAUUUAGCUUCGGUUUUGCUUGGUUUGCAGUGUAUUUGGGAGGUUGGAGAUUUGUAGAUUGGAGAUAUUGGAAAGAAUUUUCGGCAAUUUUCGAUAUGGACGACUAGAUAUCUAAUUUCCGUUGUCCAUCUUGAAGCGUGGUUGUUUUGAGUGCGACACAUACAGAGGAUAGAGAUCAAGAACAGUUUUUCUAAACUUUCUUUCCCUGCAUUUUUUUCCCAACCUACUGAGCUAGCAUUGUGAAUUAAAUGUGGAUGUGUUCCUAUGCAGUUUUGUCUGAUCCUGGUCGAUAUGUUUCCUGCACUUGCCUGGUUCAUUUGUUUUAAGUUUUGCUCUUUUUUUUUUUUAAAUUUAAAUAAUUAGCUUUGGUUCUCUUUGUUGUUUCCUUUAUAAUUCUGUCUUUCUUGGAAAUCGGUUUAUGUUUCUCUUUUUUGCCUUAGGAGCCAAUUGAAGGAUAUGGGAUUGCACUUAGGCGAUGUGUCCAAGAUUCUGAAAUUGAUAAUUCCCUUCUAACAUAUGCAUCAAUUUUUUUUAGGAUUAAAUAAUAGUUUGAUUACGGAGUUAUCUUGUUUAUGGCCUGCAAUGCUUUAAAUUGGUUGCAGAAAUCUGGAAUAAUGGAUAGAAGAUAUAUGGCAGGAAGGCUCAAAAUAAUACAGGCUCAUAAUCUGAUUAACUUUCCUUUUUUAACUAUCUUGCGUUAAUGGUCAUGCAAAAUUAAAUUUGAACUUGUUCUCUUGCAGUGUAUCGUUUUGGUCAAGUAACAUUGUACCUGGAGUUUGGACGCACUGGAUCUCUUGUCUCUUGGUUUUUUAUUUUUUUGCUAGUUCAUAUGCAUAAGUAUGCAGAUAUCAAUUGAAUUUCGUUUGUUCAUUUGCAGUGUUGUCUUCCAAUCAUACUUUUGGCAACAGGCUUUCAUGUAUAAUGGUGACUUCUAACUGGCCUUAGUGUUCUCUGUGUCUAGCGUCUUGUUCCUGUGCAUUUCAUUUCUUUGAUGUUCUUCAUAUUGCUUGGGGGAGGAUUGUUCUUUGACUUGUUUUUCCUGUGAAUUUUUAUAGAACUAUUAUUGGAUUUGUGGAUUUUGGAUUUACUUAGCUGCUGAUCAAGAUGCUUCUUUCUGGAUUCGAUAAUCUUGGGAAUGGUUACAGUUUCACACAGUUUCACAGGGAAAAGAACCAGGCGAUGAACAUAUGGACAGGGUGCUAUUCUUGUUUGCUGGAUUGGAAUUGUGAUUCUCUCUCUUCAGGUGUAGCGAAUUAUGUGGAUGAUGUGUGUGUUGGCUUCAUUUAAGAUCUUUCUUGACCUGGAAGUUUGGUUGAGCUUUUCUAAUUUGAUGAUCUGGUUCAGGGAUAGUUGUGUUGUUUGAACAUGGCUUUUCUUUCAUGCAGCUGUUCUGUUGAUUGUUAAGGUGACAUUAUCUGGAUUAUGAAUGCUCGCUUUUUUGUGUUGGGGUUUGGAGGAUGAAUUCUACUUUUGCCCAGAUCUGAAGAAACUGAGAACUCUCUGAAUCCUUGUUUUUUCUGAAAAUUCUCCUAUUCUGUACUGUUCUUAUUCCCGGAGAGAUUUAGAUUUGCUUGUUUUUGCUUGGUUUGCAGUGUAUUUGGGAGAUUGGGAAAUGGGAAUUGUAGAUUGGAGAUACUGGAAAGAAUAUUUUGCAAGACCCGAGGACCAUAUAUCUAAUUCCAUAAAAGCAAUCUGAUUCUCUAUACAUUUUAUUUCCUUGAUCAUUUAACUAAAUAUUAAAGCAUGCAUUGUGAAUUAAAAUGUAGUUAUAUUCUAUGCAGCAUUGUAGCCUGGUUGUUGAGCACGAAGCAUACCGUGAAUGGAAUCUAGUUUCCUAAAACAGAUUUUCGAACUCUUCUUUCCUUUUUGUUCAUUCCAACCUACUGUGCUUGCAGCAUUUGAAUUAAAUGUCGUUGGUUUCCCGUGCAGUGUUGUCCAAUCAUGGGUGUUGAGUGCAUCCUGGUGAAAUGCUUUUGCACUUGCCUGGUUCAUUUGUUUAAUUUUGCUUUUUUUUAAUUUUAAAUUCGCUACUGUGUUGUUUCCUUUGUUAUUCUCUCGUGCUUGGAAAAUCAGUUUUUGUUUCUCUUUUCCUUAGGAACCAAUUGAAGCGUAUGGGAUUGCACCGAGACCGUUCAAGAUUCCGAGAUUGAUAUGUCCUUGUUAUAUUAUUCUUUUUUCUUUCUAUCCCCUAAAUAUUAUAAAAAUAACUUGAUUAUAUAGUUGUUUCACGUUGUUUAUGACCUCCAAUGUUUUUCAGUGGUUGCAGUGAUUUAGAAUUUUGGAAAA